Molecule: long non-coding RNA, 3149 nt
Filed under: Ananas comosus (pineapple)
Lineage: Eukaryota; Viridiplantae; Streptophyta; Magnoliopsida; Poales; Bromeliaceae
Description: long non-coding RNA (ACOM_LNC025753)
Source: RNAcentral
AAUGAUUUUUAUUGUAUAUAUAGAGAGAGAGAGAGAGAGAGAGAGAGAGAGUGUGUGUGUGUCCGGCUACUAUACUCUUAUGAGUAUAUACCUGUCACGCCCCCCGCCCCGAGACCGCUACCAAUUUGGUACGGUUCGGGCGCGGCGAACGGACGCCGAAUGGAUAGCACCUUCCCUGUCCGCCCAAGGCUAAACGACGAGAUUGCCUACAACAUGUUCCGAGGAAAAUAACUUGAAUACAUACACAAUCAUACAACAAUUAGCGAGAGCACAAACAGUGCUGAACAAUGCGAGAGCAAGCAUUACGAGUAAUACAACCAUACAAGUGGAUAAAAGAGAGAGACUUACUAUUCUAUUACAUUCAUUCAACUUUAUACAUUUAAUUACAUUUGGACUUCCAAAACAUGAGUACAACUCGUCCAUCACAUAUAAAUACAUACAUGGAUACAUCUCUCGAGUACCUCACCACCUACACAUCAUCUACUCUCAAAAUGAGUACAGGGUAACUCUAAUGCAAAGUAGGAAAGUAAACUACUACAACCUCUAGAGCGCUACGCCCUUACCGCGAUCCUCACCGGGGGCGCUCGAGCUCGGACCUGCAACAAGGUGGGGUGAGAACUACGAAUAGUUCUCAGUGGGUUCGGCCGCCGACUCCGCCGAUCUCCCCACUAGGUCUAAGCAGGCACAGAUAGAUAUACAGAUAGAUAGAUAUGAAACGACAGUAGCAUGAUAAGGAAAUAGAAAGUAAUCUACUAUGUCUCAAUCUGAUAUAAUGAAUGCAUGAAACUCAUAGAAAAAGGCUAGCUACCAUACUACUAUGUUCAACAAUGAAGCUAUUCAUUAGAUCACCCAAUCUCUCGGCUAAACCGAGGCUCUCUCUCAGUCUCACGCGUAUAAGUCUCCUAGGGGAGGAGGCCAACUACUCAACUACCCCCGAGACCGCCUGUGGACAGCUAGCGGCUGUCCGNUCAUUAGAUCACCCAAUCUCUCGGCUAAACCCAGGCUCUCUCUCUGUCUCACGCGUGUAAGUCUCCUAGGGAAGGAGGUCAACUACUCAACUACCACCGACACCGCCUGUGGACAGCUAGCGGCUGUCCGGGCAGCUAGCGGCUACCCCUCAAGUGACAAAUACUCCGGAGUGCACAACUUGUGUGGAGCUACCACUACAAGUGCAGACAGGCUACGUGAGCUCGAUCCAAUCUCAUGAACUGGGAACAUCCUACCAACUAAGGUUGGUGUUAUCAUGGAAUCAAAGUAUUCUAAUACUUAAUCUCAUAGUGUUCUGACUACACUAAGAUUCUCAUGUUUAUGUCAAUUAGAUGCCCACUCGUUUUGUGUUUAUUGUUAACUAGAUGCCACUCGUUCUCUUGACAGGUUCUCAAUACACUAGUUUACACUUUACUAGGUUCUCAUCCACAUAAGCAUGUUCAUUCCUUAUCAACUAUUCUUUCAUUAUAGGGUCUCAAGUCAUUUGACACUAUCUCAUGCAUACUAGAUUUAGGUGUUAAACAACUCAACUCUACACUACUCUACUAGCGUGCAAGAAUAUAUAACAAUUACAUUUAGCACCCUAUAAUGCAAUAUUAUAAUAUGCAAUUUGAUCGACUUGACAAACUUAGACAUAGGGAGCAGUUCAACUGCUUUGGGAUGGACACCCCCCACCUUUUGGUAGUGCCGUGAAGCUAGCAAACUCGACGUCACGAUCCUCGUACGUCGUUUCAACUUCUCGGGUCAAUACGAACCCUCAAGUACUUGUUUCGGCGAUAACUUCGCACUUGCUCGACGGAUCGACGAACCGUCUUCGCCAACGCGUUUAGAGACCUAGCAAUUAGGUUUCCGACCUAUCAAAAGAGAUCAAAACCUUAGAUUUCCAAAAACCCCAAAUCGGAGCCCUAGGAUUGCAAUAAUGGAAAAAUCCAUGGUUCAAGCUUCGGAUUUGAGCUAGAACCAUCUAUUUAGCUCCAAUAGGUUCUAUUCGAACCACUUCUAAACAAUAAAACCCUAUCACAAGAAAUCUACCAUUGUAGGGUUCAAAGCUUACCUCUCUAAGCUUGCUCUAGGCUCAAGAAAGAAGAUGAGGAAGAUGAUCUCUUUCUUUGUCUUCUUUCUUUUCUACUUCUUCUCCUCUUUCUUCUUCUUCUUCUUCUUCUUUCUAGAGAGAGAGAGGGAGAGUGUGAGGGUGUGGGAGAGGGAAAAUGAGAGUGUGUGAGUGAGAGGAGGGAUCCCGCAAGCCUCUCAUAUAGGCAUUUUUGCAAAUAAGCCCCUCAACUUUCCUUUUAUGAAGCAGCCCUUACUGGGCAAUUUCGGGCUACGGGGACCGGUCCCUCGAAGGGGAGGACCGGUCCCCCGAGAGCUGUCCAAAAAAUACGCGUACGAGAACCGGUCCCCACCCUUAGGGACCGGUCCCCGAGAGCUUUCUCCGAAAAUAGGGGCUACGGGAACCGGUCUCUCCUAGAGGGACCGGUCCCCGAGAGCAUGAAAUCUGCUCCUUGAGCGGAUUUCAAACCAAGCUCUCGCGGGUCCGUCCUCAAUGCACUUUUUUGAUGUUCUCGGACUUUCCGAAGCACACCAACUCGACAACUAGUCGAUUUUAAACGAAGUCUAAUCCCCGAAUUUCGAGAAUUCACUUCCCUUACAAUACCCCUCUAUACUCAUAAGUUUUCGACCGUUAGAUCUACCCCUUUUAUCAUUUCCAUCCGUCAGAUCAAACUAUUCAACCAACUACCCACUUAACUCUAAAAGACCGCUAUCAUUCUAACAGGAAACCACUAUCAUCUUAGCCGCACAUCUCUUCAUCCAAUGACUGAAAAUUUAUGAGUACAAAGGGGUCUAUACUCAUAAGAGUAUAGUAACCCUAGCCUAUAUAUAUGAGUCUGGCUACUAUACUCUUUUAUGAGUAUACACCCAUUUAUAAUUAUAAGUUUUCGACCGUUAGAUCUACCCCUUUGAUCAUUUCCAUCCGUCAGAUCAAACUAUUCAACCAACUACCCACUCAACCCUAAAGGACUGCUAUCAUUCUAAUCGGAAACCACUAUUAUUCUAGCCACACAUCUCUUCAUCCAACGACUAAAAAAUUAUGAGUACAAAGAGAUCUAUACUCAUAAAAAUAUAGUAGCCCUAGCCUAUAUAUAUGAUUCCGGCUACUAUAC